AUUGCCCUAGUAACGGCGAGUGAAGCGGCAACAGCUCAAAUUUGAAAUCUGGCUUCGGCCCGAGUUGUAAUUUGUAGAGGAAGCUUUUGGUGAGGCACCUUCUGAGUCCCCUGGAACGGGGCGCCAUAGAGGGUGAGAGCCCCGUAUAGUCGGAUGCCGAUCCAAUGUAAAGCUCCUUCGACGAGUCGAGUAGUUUGGGAAUGCUGCUCAAAAUGGGAGGUAAAUUUCUUCUAAAGCUAAAUACCGGCCAGAGACCGAUAGCGCACAAGUAGAGUGAUCGAAAGAUGAAAAGCACUUUGAAAAGAGGGUUAAAUAGCACGUGAAAUUGUUGAAAGGGAAGCGUUUGUGACCAGACUUGCGCCGUUCCGAUCAUCCGGUGUUCUCACCGGUGCACUCGGGACGGCUCAGGCCAGCAUCGGUUUUGGCGGGGGGAUAAAGGUUCGGGGAACGUAGCUCCUCCGGGAGUGUUAUAGCCCCGGGCGUAAUGCCCUCGCCGGGACCGAGGUUCGCGCAUCUGCAAGGAUGCUGGCGUAAUGGUCAUCAACGACCCGUCUUGAAACACGGACCAAGGAGUCAAGGUUUUGCGCGAGUGUUUGGGUGUAAAACCCGCACGCGUAAUGAAAGUGAACGUAGGUGAGAGCUUCGGCGCAUCAUCGACCGAUCCUGAUGUAUUCGGAUGGAUUUGAGUAAGAGCGUUAAGCCUUGGACCCGAAAGAUGGUGAACUAUGCUUGGAUAGGGUGAAGCCAGAGGAAACUCUGGUGGAGGCUCGCAGCGGUUCUGACGUGCAAAUCGAUCGUCAAAUCUGAGCAUGGGGGCGAAAGACUAAUCGA
RNAcentral lists this ribosomal RNA (831 nucleotides) under Neurospora intermedia. RNAcentral describes it as "eukaryotic LSU rRNA". It matches the Rfam family "Eukaryotic large subunit ribosomal RNA", at positions 74 to 938 of the family's 3401-position model. The record is from RNAcentral. Lineage: Eukaryota; Fungi; Ascomycota; Sordariomycetes; Sordariales; Sordariaceae.